UGAAAACUAAAACUCUGCAAGAAAUUGAAUAAGCAUAUUUUCCAGAAUGUUAAACUAGUCCUUUUAAUUACUUCUUUUAAACCGUGUUGCUGCUGUUGCACCAGUCCAGCACAUCUCUGUCUGCUGAAGGUACUUUGUCAGAAAGUUAGCACAAGGCACAAACUGUCAGAAGCAACAAAUGAGAAGGCUCCCAUAAACUUGCUAAAUAAAGCAAAUCAGACAUUAAAGGAGCACCCAAGCACUUUAGUAUUGCAUUUCAGUAAGUAUAGGGACUUGUAAGAGAGAGAUUAAAAUGAGAAAGGUCAAAAAUCAUUGUAGCAGAGUUGGAGACAUUUUACUGUUUUCACAGCCUGACUAGUCCCUUACAACUGAAAUAACUCGUGUGUAGAAAUUUGGUGACGUGCCCCUUUUAUUUGUAUGAAAGCCAGCCUGCAUACAUACAGUAUAUAUAUCCAUGUGUGUGUGUGUGUGUGUUUGGUCGAACAUACCUCAAAACCCCACACAACAAAACAGUGCCUGAGGGACGUUCUCUCAUCUUGUCCACAUGUAGAAACUCAAUGCCCUGCUCAUCUUAAAAUGCAGUAAUUUAUGUCUCUUCAUUUUUAACCUUGAGGGGGUUCAUGGUUUCCUCUUAGUUUUUUUAGUGUUUGUUUAGUGUACAUCUGAUAGUGAAUAUCAAGAUUAUUGUCGUUAUCAUGCAGUGCUUUGGAGCUUUAUUAGAUUAAGCCUUAAAGUUUCCCCUCAUGCCUCAAUGUUAAAUGUCCCAUACGAAGUGCUACGACACACUGCCUUUUUUGUAGUGAUGGUGCUAAAAAUAAUGAUAUGGAGGGGUGGAUGUAGAGUGGCUGGGGUGGGGCAGUGCUAUAUUAGUGUUUACUUGUCCACCUGACUAUUGUACGUGGCGCUCUUAACCUCUCAUCGUAUUUAGAUAUCUCAGGCCUUUGAGCUUUAUUAUUGUCUGUUUGUUGGAAAAGGAAUUAUUUGUUGGGACCUGUUUGCA
Molecule: long non-coding RNA, 1000 nt
Organism: Etheostoma cragini (Arkansas darter)
Lineage: Eukaryota; Metazoa; Chordata; Actinopteri; Perciformes; Percidae
Exons: 3
Source: RefSeq, a predicted model, not a curated record